GAUGAACGCUGGCGGCGUGCCUAAUACAUGCAAGUCGAGCGAACAGACGAGGAGCUUGCUCCUCUGACGUUAGCGGCGGACGGGUGAGUAACACGUGGAUAACCUACCUAUAAGACUGGGAUAACUUCGGGAAACCGGAGCUAAUACCGGAUAAUAUAUUGAACCGCAUGGUUCAAUAGUGAAAGACGGUUUUGCUGUCACUUAUAGAUGGAUCCGCGCCGCAUUAGCUAGUUGGUAAGGUAACGGCUUACCAAGGCGACGAUGCGUAGCCGACCUGAGAGGGUGAUCGGCCACACUGGAACUGAGACACGGUCCAGACUCCUACGGGAGGCAGCAGUAGGGAAUCUUCCGCAAUGGGCGAAAGCCUGACGGAGCAACGCCGCGUGAGUGAUGAAGGUCUUCGGAUCGUAAAACUCUGUUAUUAGGGAAGAACAAAUGUGUAAGUAACUAGGCACGUAUUGACGGUACCUAAUCAGAAAGCCACGUCUAACUACGUGC
Molecule: ribosomal RNA, 498 nt
Filed under: uncultured bacterium
Lineage: Bacteria
Description: partial 16S ribosomal RNA
Rfam family: Bacterial small subunit ribosomal RNA
Source: RNAcentral